CCACUGUAACGUUAGUGGUUACAGUGGGUAGAUAGAAAAUUAAAAUGAAAAAAAUAUUUUAGUUAUAGAUUUUAUAUUCAGGUUAGGUAGGUAGGUAGGUAGUUGUCGGUUGAGCCGGGAGUGAGUCCGAAUAUCGAGCGUAACGAAUUCUAGUUCGCCGUUAGAACACCACUAUCCUGUCAGUAGCCGGUAGAGAGGGUAGGUCGCUCGCAGCUCCGCAGUAGUCCAGCCGUCGGUGAUGCAGGGUAGGCCCGCUGUCUUCGACGUGAAGGUCGCGAAGGUCACGAGGUCCAGCAGACUCGGAUAGUAGUGAAGAUGGAAGGUAGUCGGUUGAGUGGGUAGAUGUAGGUAGAUGCAGAAACCGGAGCUUGUAGGUAGGUGUUGAAAGGUAGCUGCUGGAAGGUAGCUGAUGGAAACCGGAGCUUGUAGGUAGGUGUUGAAAGGUAGCUGCUGGAAGGUAGCUGAUGGAACCCUGGAAUUCGGUAAUUGUCCGUCUUAGAAGGUGUCCGAAUCCUUGCCUUGACUGCAACAUCCCGAUCCCACUAACACGGUCUACCAAAAGGGAAGCAGCGUUCCAGCAUUAAGCAGCUAUCGAGAUGAGGCAGUCCAGGCAGCGUGGUACAAUAGCAAAAGAAGUUACUUUGAUGAUUUGCAGAAUUAAUUAAAUUGAAUUAACAAAAAUUAAAAGUAUUAAAAUAAUUAAAACAUGUAGGUAGAUACAUAUUAUACUACGGGUAGAAAUUAAAAAUUAUUAGAACAAAGAAAAAUGUAUGACCUAAGUCAACCGUCAAUUUAGAUUAACGGGAUAUUUAGAUAUUUAGAUGACAAUAUAGCAAUUAGGUACUAUAUUAGCCCUUUAAACACAUAACAACACAAAACAUUACUAAAUUACUUUUAAACAUAAACUACUGGUAUAAAACAUUAUUAGACACAUCUAUGAACAAAGAACAAUGGAAAAUAGCAAAUCAUGCAGCGAUUAGGUAGCUAAUAAGCAGUAAGGAUUUGUUUUGCAACACUCACCCGAUCUGGGGUUAACACUGAAUUUAAUAGUAAUAAGCACUUGGUAGAAAUUGAGGUACGGAUAAUUGUUUGAUUUUAUAAUUUAAAUUAAUUAAAAUAAUUGUAAUUCGCGACACUGUUGCGGUAGGUGACUUUCUUCUGUCGCGGUUGCGUGGUAGUUCGGGAUGAUUCUAGUCGGUUGCCUAAUAUAGCUUCUCGCCGGCGCCAGGGAAUACUAAGUACUAGCGCGGCGAGUCGCAGUCUAGGUGGAGGGGAUCGUGCCGAACCGGCUACCGUGGCGCGGUAAGUAGCUAUCGCAGCGCGCGGCGCGCGGGUAUUCAGGUAUUUUUUGUAAUGAUUAGUUUUUUUCUCUCUGUUUAGGUAGGGUAGGUGUGAAAUUUAUUAUUUCUUUGUU
This is a long non-coding RNA of Spodoptera frugiperda (fall armyworm), 1414 nucleotides long. RefSeq lists it as uncharacterized. The transcript has 3 exons. Lineage: Eukaryota; Metazoa; Arthropoda; Insecta; Lepidoptera; Noctuidae. The record is from RefSeq and is a predicted model, not a curated record.